This is a long non-coding RNA of Coturnix japonica (Japanese quail), 800 nucleotides long. The record is from Ensembl. NCBI's taxonomy places the organism in Eukaryota, Metazoa, Chordata, Aves, Galliformes, Phasianidae.
UAACCCCCCUUUAUUAUGGACCCCCAGAGCAACAUGGACCCCUCCGCCCCCCUUCAAUAUACCAGACUCCAACCUGCAGCACCACUUUGUCCUGCUUCUCCUUAUUGGACCCAACAUGCGGCUGCAGCGCUUCGCGGAGCUGCUCAACUGCCAGCACAGCAAGAACACAUGAGACCUAUGGGGUCUAUGGGGUGCUAUGGGGUCCCAUGGGGUCCUAUGGGGUCCUGUGGGGUCCUGUAGGGUCCUAUAGGGUUCUAUGGGGUCCCUAUGGGGGUCCCAUGGGGUCCCUAUGGGGUUUAUAUGGGACCAGGGGUGAUGAUGUGGACCCAACAUGCGGCUGCAGCGCUUCGCGGAGCUGCUCAACUGCCAGCACAGCAAGCACAGCUGAGACCUAUGGGGUGCUGUGGGUCUAUGGGGUCCUAUGGGGUUCUAUGGGGUCCUGUGGGGUCCUAUAGGGUCCUAUGGGGUCCUAUGGGGGUCCUAUGGGGUUCUAUAGGGUCCUAUAGGGUUCUAUGGGGUCCUGUGGGGUCCUAUGGGGUUCUAUGGGGGUCCUAUGGGGUUCUGUGGGGGUCCCAUGGGGUUCUAUAGGGUCCUGUGGGGUCCUGUGGGGUUCUAUAGGGUCCCUAUGGGGGCCCUAUGGGGGUCCUAUGGGGUUCUGUGGGGUUCUAUAGGGUCCUAUGGGGUUCUAUAGGGUCCUAUGGGAUCCUCUGGGGUUCUAUAGGGUGCUGUGGGGGUCCUAUGGGCUUUAUAUGGGGUUUAUAUAGGACCAAGGGUACGUAUAUAGGACCAGGAGCAUCUAU